GGAAGUCGUCCACUACUUGUGAUCCAGACAGCUGAGCUAUUUAUGAGAUGGACAUUAUUUGAAUUCUCACAUCUUCCUUCAUCAGGAGUCAAGGCACUGCCAUUUGCUAUUUGGCAUAUAUGUGUGGUUCAGCUAAGAAGCUUUUUCUGUGGUGGCUGCUGGCUCAAUAGCUCUGGAAGCAAGAGCUGAAAAUUCAAGCACUGGAAUGCAAGAUAAAUAUUCUUCUGCCAGCUGGUGAAGGAGAAAUGGGGACAGGUGAUCAUAAAGGACUGCUUUAUCAAAGAAAAUCCAGGGUUCAAUUAAAAGAGAGGGAAGAGAGAGGUAAAGCGACUGACAAUUGUGGUUUUCUGGUUAGAAGGGAAUACUGUAGAAUGAACAGCAAAACAGGAAGAGAGGUGAGGCUGUGAAGAAAAAAGACUGAAAGCAUAAAAAGUGAUAGGAGAGAUAUAUUGUGUGUUAGGGAUUGGCCAGGAUUAGAAAAAGUCAAAAUCCAAGAGAAAAACAAAGGUGAUGUCUGAUUUUUAAGGAGGAAGGAGAGGAAUAGCAUUUAAAUAUGGGAAUUUGAAAAGGGAAAAUUUGUGAUGGUGGUGGAAGUGGAAGUGGAGAGAAAUACUAGAAAAGAGACAU
This is a long non-coding RNA of Cyanistes caeruleus (blue tit), 627 nucleotides long. RefSeq lists it as uncharacterized. Lineage: Eukaryota; Metazoa; Chordata; Aves; Passeriformes; Paridae. The record is from RefSeq and is a predicted model, not a curated record.